Molecule: ribosomal RNA, 495 nt
Filed under: uncultured bacterium
Lineage: Bacteria
Description: partial 16S ribosomal RNA
Rfam family: Bacterial small subunit ribosomal RNA
Source: RNAcentral
GAUGAACGCUGGCGGCGUGCCUAAUACAUGCAAGUAGAACGCUGAAGGAGGAGCUUGCUCUUCUGGAUGAGUUGCGAACGGGUGAGUAACGCGUAGGUAACCUGCCUGGUAGCGGGGGAUAACUAUUGGAAACGAUAGCUAAUACCGCAUGACAACAGUUAUUGCAUGAUAACUGUUUAAAAGGGGCAACUGCUCCACUACCAGAUGGACCUGCGUUGUAUUAGCUAGUUGGUGAGGUAACGGCUCACCAAGGCGACGAUACAUAGCCGACCUGAGAGGGUGAUCGGCCACACUGGGACUGAGACACGGCCCAGACUCCUACGGGAGGCAGCAGUAGGGAAUCUUCGGCAAUAGACGGAAGUCUGACCGAGCAACGCCGCGUGAGUGAAGAAGGUUGUCGGAUCGUAAAGCUCUGUUGUAAGAGAAGAACGAGUGUGAGAGUGGAAAGUUCACACUGUGACGGUAGCUUACCAGAAAGGGACGGCUAACUACGUG